RNAcentral lists this ribosomal RNA (492 nucleotides) under uncultured bacterium. RNAcentral's name for it is "partial 16S ribosomal RNA". It matches the Rfam family "Bacterial small subunit ribosomal RNA", at positions 29 to 507 of the family's 1533-position model. The record is from RNAcentral.
AGUGAACGCUGGCGGUAGGCCUAACACAUGCAAGUCGAACGGCAGCACAGUAAGAGCUUGCUCUUACGGGUGGCGAGUGGCGGACGGGUGAGGAAUACAUCGGAAUCUACUUUUUCGUGGGGGAUAACGUAGGGAAACUUACGCUAAUACCGCAUACGACCUACGGGUGAAAGCAGGGGAUCUUCGGACCUUGCGCGAUUGAAUGAGCCGAUGUCGGAUUAGCUAGUUGGCGGGGUAAAGGCCCACCAAGGCGACGAUCCGUAGCUGGUCUGAGAGGAUGAUCAGCCACACUGGAACUGAGACACGGUCCAGACUCCUACGGUAGGCAGCAGUGGGGAAUAUUGGACAAUGGGCGCAAGCCUGAUCCAGCCAUACCGCGUGGGUGCAGAAGGCCUUCGGGUUGUAAAGCCCUUUUGUUGGGAAAGAAAAGCAGCAGGUUAAUACCCCGCUGUUCUGACGGUACCCAAAGAAUAAGCACCGGCUAACUUCGUG